This 4953-nucleotide long non-coding RNA is filed under the name Xyrichtys novacula (pearly razorfish). Lineage: Eukaryota; Metazoa; Chordata; Actinopteri; Labriformes; Labridae. The record is from RNAcentral.
AAGGAAUCCACAGUUCCCAGAACUACAUGAAAAGGUUCCUUCAGCCUUGAAAUAAUGUCAUAAUGUCUGCAGACACUCCAGCCAGCUUUACCAAAGUCAGUCGUCCUGCAGUGGUAACAGGUUUGUCGAUAUAGAUCUAAAUGUAUGUGCUGACUCAGAAUAUUAGUUGUUGUUGAUUAUUUUUUACAUUGAAAUGUGCCUGACACCAUGGAAACCUGCCGGUGAGGCAUCAGUGACGUAUGCCGAUAUGCCGCCGGUCUACAAAAAUACCACUAGACCAGCUGCGCUCCACCUGCGCUGAAAGCUGACAAGUUUUGAAUCGGCGAGCUUUCAGCGCACUUUAUACUCCACCGGCGGGCACUAAAAUGUCACUGGGCCAGCUGAUUCUGUCGACACCUCCCUCUGCCACGCCACCACGCCCAGCUUGGCGGAUCUCGGUGCGCCUCAGUCCACGAAAAUACCAAACUGGCUGUAUGCCAGGCUCCACCAGACGAAAAUACCACUGUGCGGGGUCCGCCACCCUCAGCCGCGUCGCCGGCGGGCACAAAAAUAGAGCCCUUGAUCUAAAAACGAGAGGUUAAACUAAUUUCACUGGAGUUUCAUGGCUUAGAUCAGCCCGUGACCACCUAGAUGAUUCUGAUGAAUAAUAAAACCAGAGUGUCAGGAUGUCUGAUACACCUGCUGAGAACACCUUCAUAUGACAGGUGCAGGCCAGAUCCUCCUGUGAACACACCAGCUGCCAACACACACACACACACACACACACACACACACACACACACACACACACACACACACACACACACACACACACCUGCAGACAUACACACCUACACUUGUGCGCGCGUAAACACACAUACACACACACACACAUGCACACACACACACACACACGCACACACACGUGAGAGAUAGAAACAUUUUUGAUUUUUAACAAACCUUUAUUAUCUUAACACCAAAUCAUCACACUUUAACCUUCACUUUAGAUCAUUAUUUAAGGAAAUCACAACUCAAGCUCCAAGCAGCUAAAAGUCUGUUUAAAAAUGCACAAUCAGCUGCGUGUCAUCUGCAGAAACAACACAUCAAUCAUCUUUUGAUGACUUCAGAUAUCAGAGCUCUUUUCUGUCUAUCCUGUCCACUAUUGAUCUUAAAGGACCCCAUCCUGAGGCUCUGCAUGAAGAGAGCAGAGAAUGAAGAGAAACGGACAGACCAGAAUGAGAACAGGACAGUUUGAAGAGUACAUAAAACUGCUCCACCUAGCUUGCACUCCACUGCCAAGUGACUGACUAUCUUACCCAGAAUACAUGUGGAGAGGAUAUUGAUGAUCCAAUCGUAAAUUUGCACGUUUUCAAGUAAAUUGUGAGAGUAAGAAAUUCUCACUCUGUUUCCAUGAUGCGGGCUGGGGAGAGGCCCUCAUAGCCUGGCUUCUCUGGGCCCCUUCUGAAGAAGUUCAGGUAUUGAUGCAGUUAUAGUUUUUGUUGUUAUCGCUCAUCUUGCUGGUUGUUUUUAUCCUCGAUGUUGCUGCAAAUGUUGCUGUUUUAGUUUCACUUGCCUGUUGCUGUAGUUUGUUUUGUUGCUGUGAUUUCAAUAAAAGUACACAUGGUUGUUGCUGAUGACAUUUUUAUUGGCUUCUUUUAUUGUUGUUGCUGUGAUUGUAACUUCCGCUGCAGAUGUGUUUUUUUUUGUGGUUGAUUUUGUUGUUGUGUUGUAUUAUAGCUGUUUUUUUUUUUUUUACUGUUGUUGCCAUAGUUUUUGGGGUUGAAGUUGUGCAAGAAAAUUUUUUGUGGUUGAUUUUGUUGUUGUACGGUAGUAUAGUGGUUUGUUGCUUUUACUGUUGUUGCCAUUGUUUUGGGGGUUGUAGUUGUGUAAGAAAAUUUUUUGAUGAUGUUGAUAGUCUUAAUUGCUAGUGUUUUUUUUUUUUUUUUGUUGUUCUUUUUUCUUACUGAAGUUGUUGCUGCAGUUUGAGCUUUUUGUUGUAAAUGUUUUUGUAACUGAAAUAGUAAAACAAUGAAAUUGUUGUUUUCAGUUGAUGUAAUUUGUUUUGUUUUUGUAAUAGUACAUGCUGCUACAGAUGUAGUUUUCACGUUUUGUGCCUCUAAUUCUGUUGUUUUGGUCGUACAAACUUCAUACAGUCUCUUCCCCUGGAUUACUGAGUAUCUGAAUCAGUAUUUAAACUUGACUCUUGAACUCUUUGCAUAGACAGAUAUCCGAUUAUUCACCGUUAAAAGCGCAGUGUCUCCUAAGCCAUCCAGCUAUUUGAUUGGUCAAAUGUUUUCAAGCUUUGACUUGAUUGGUUGAAAAUGUUGAUAACAGCUUGAACGUGGCUCCACCACAAGCGUGCACGCCAGGGUAUGCGACUACUUGCUCUAUCAACAAAGCCGGAAACAGAUGGAUUGUUGACUCGUCCUUCAAAGUAAAAGCAGGACUUGCCUUGAGAGGUAAAUAUGAUUAACAGUAAGUAUUGAACAUUGAGAGAAAAUUGUAGGAAUUUUACUUGUUACUACUCAUAAAUGUAAAAUUUGCUCUGUAAACACUGAAACACUGCGAAGUAGUGUGGCUACAAAUUUACUCUGAAGGUACAGACCGGAAAUGAAAUAGUAUAAACGUACAUGUGUAUCGAGGACAACAGAGGAAGUUUCUGUAGCUGCUCGCAAGGUCUGUGAACCGCUUCUCUCUGAGGUCUCUGUGGACUCCCACAGUCCGGAUCAGAUCCUCUGCUGCUUCUCCUCCUCCUCCUCCUCCUCCUCCUCCACUACCUCAUCUCAUUCUUGCUGCCUGGAGCUGCUGCUCUACAGGUAAGAACCCCUUGACAGCUGGCCGGUCAGAAAGACAACCGAACCCCGUUAAAAAAUUUACUGAUUAAAGCUAUUCUCGCGAAAUAAACAAUGAUAACGCGUCUAACAUCCUCAUAAUUCAUACUCACCUGUCUGCGUGGAGGUAGAGUUCAGUUCGGCUUCAAGCUGACAUCUGUCAAAAGCCUUCACAUCCUGUCAGCCCAUCAUCCCAAUGAGAGACCAAACACCUGCACCUGCUGUCAUGAAAGCUGCAGAGAUUUUAAACACCUGUCCUGUUUGCUCUACUUCAACAAUGUUCUCAGUAAAGUCAAAUAGACUUUAAGAGUCACACACACCGUGUCAUUACACUGUUAUUUUACAGGAUAUGCGUGUGUGUAUUUGUGUAACUUGCCCCUGAUUUUAUCUUAGUGUGAGGAUUGUAAAGUCAGAUAAAACUGUGUUUGUGGGUUGAUCAGGAGCUCUAGCAGUUUCCCAUGUUCCUGCUCUCAGCCUGCUCUCAUACACUGGUCCACUUCUUGAUGUUCUCUGUAUUUCUAACACUUUUCCCUGUUUAAGAUAACAGACUUAUGUUUACAGUGGGAUUUAAAAAUGUCACCUGGUGUUACCGAAUUGGCUUGACUAAUUGAUAUACACUCACUGAUGGAUCAGUCACUGCACACAAAAGGAAUCCACAGUUCCCAGAACUACAUGAAAAGGUUCCUUCAGCCUUGAAAUAGUGUCAUAAUCAGGAGCUCUAGCAGUUUCCCAUGUUCCUACUCAUUUAGAUAGAUGUUGAUGAAAUGCAUUCUGGGAGUUGUAGUAGUUCUCACACUGACAACUUUUAUCCCCACAGGUGUAUUCAGUGUUAAAUUUGUGUAGCAUUUGAUUAGAUUGAUUAGAUUUAUUCUUUGGAAUUUACAGAAAGUUCAAACCAGAUUUUAGUUUUUUGUCAAUUUUUUUCAGUUAAAGACAGUGGAUAUUUUUAUAGAAAUAUUUCCUCUGGGCGAAGAAAGAAAUCCUAAUUCUGUUUAGUAAUCUUGGUUAAAUAUGUUCCUAAAUAAUACACCAAUAUCCAGCAAACAACCAGAAAUUAAUAAGCCGUGGGUUCAAGUCAGAUAAAAGAUGUAAGUUUGCAAUGAUAAAAUGCAGCUGUUGACUGAUUUUUUUUGUACAAAACCCAAUUCCAUUGAAGUUGGGAAAUUGUGAUGAAUGUAAAUAAAAACAGAACUACUUUGGCACAUGUUGCAGCCAUGAAAUUCUGAGUUAAUUAUUAUUUGCAUAAAAAAAAUAAAGUUUAUGAGUUUGAACAUUAAAUAUCUUGUCUUUGUAGUGUAUUCAAUUGAAUAUAGGUUGAAAGGGAUUUGCAAAUCGUUGUAUUCUGUUUUUAUUUAUGUUUAUCACAAUUUCCCAACUUCAGUGGAAUUGGGUUUUGUAAUAAGCAUGAUGGAAUAAUGUUUCAUUAUAAAGCACUAUGUCUCAAAUAUAAUAUAGCUCCGAAAUUGUACCUCCAUCUUGCUGUCACAGCAGCAAUGGCUGCUAAAAUUGUAAUGAAAGAAGUCACAUUUCACCAACACAAAUUCCCUCUUCACAGCAUGUUUAGUUAUUUCACUGACUGUCAAUAUUUGCUGAGUAACUUCGGGUCUGAAUAUAAGAAAUAAGAAAUCUGGCUGACAUGUAUUGUCAUCCAAUCAUCAUAUUUCAUGUGGGGGGUAAAGAUGCCUGUCUGGUAUCCAAGUCAACACUUCUUAGGAGAAUAAAUCCAGUCCUGUUGUUAUCAGGUCUCACUCCAGACCAACAGUUGUUUUUCACUGUUUGUGGACAUUAGCUUAGAAUUUACACACCUGUACCACCAGGUUACCUGGGAUCUCUACUGCUCUCCAAAUUAACUAGAACUUUCUCCACUUCACCUUUUUUCCUCUGUAAACUCUGCUUCACAAAGCAGUAGUAGUAAUUGAUGCUGUCAGAAUCACAGAAUCUAGUUUGGUUGUAUUAUUGUCUUUUUGAAGCCUGCUGCUUUUAAAAGAGGAAAUCUGAGUCACAUCCACAACAACAUGUUGGGUCAGAGUCUCUCAAAAUAGCUAAAUGAUGUGGUAGUCAGCCCUCUCAGCAGAAAACUAUAGCCUAGCUUGAGUAGCGCUUCUUCUGGCAAUUCCUCAUUGAAGAGGCUGAGCUGACAGGC